Oncorhynchus tshawytscha (Chinook salmon) is the source of this 739-nucleotide long non-coding RNA. The record is from Ensembl. NCBI's taxonomy places the organism in Eukaryota, Metazoa, Chordata, Actinopteri, Salmoniformes, Salmonidae.
CAUGUGACUGGUGUGGCAUCAUGUGACUGGUGUGGUAUCAUGACAGUAUCAUGUGACUGGUGUGGUAUCAUGUGACUGGUGUGGCAUCAUGUGACUGGUGUGGUAUCAUGUGACUGGUGUGGCAUCAUGUGACUGGUGUGGCAUCAUGUGACUGGUGUGGCAUCAUGUGACUGGUGUGGUAUCAUGACAGUAUCAUGUGACUGGUGUGGCAUCAUGUGACUGGUGUGGCAUCAUGACAGUAUCAUGUGACUGGUGUGGCAUCAUGUGACUGGUGGGCAUCAUGUGACUGGUGUGGUAUCAUGUGACUGGUGUGGCAUCAUGUGACUGGUGUGGUAUCAUGUGACUGGUGUGGCAUCAUGACAGUAUCAUGUGACUGGUGUGGCAUCAUGACAGUAUCAUGAGACUGGUGUGGUAUCAUGACAGUAUCAUGUGACUGGUAUAUCAGUGGUUAGGGUUUGGAGUUUUACCUGACUAGGAAUAACUCCUGGCCUUAACAAUGAUGACAAUAUUCACGUUUCUCAAAAAAAUCCUGUUUCCUCACUGAAAUGUCUACUCGUGUCUGUUUUUACAGUGCUUUCUAAAUGUUUUCAAGAACCACACGAGUCACUUCCUCAGUUCUUCCAGACGGGUGAUGUUCUGACAGAGCGGUAUGAACUCACACACAACCUGAAUGUAGUUUAUUACAUUAUUACAUUAAAAUAAAGUUUAUUACAUUAAAAUGUUUUAUUUGUUUACAUAA